CUACGGGGCGCUCCAGUGGGGAAUCUUAGACAAUGGGGGAAACCCUGAUCUAGCCAUGCCGCGUGAGUGAUGAAGGCCUUAGGGUCGUAAAGCUCUUUCGCCAGGGAUGAUAAUGACAGUACCUGGUAAAGAAACCCCGGCUAACUCCGUGCCAGCAGCCGCGGUAAUACGGAGGGGGUUAGCGUUGUUCGGAAUUACUGGGCGUAAAGCGCGCGUAGGCGGAUUAGAAAGUUGGGGGUGAAAUCCCGGGGCUCAACCCCGGAACUGCCUCCAAAACUACUAGUCUAGAGUUCGAGAGAGGUGAGUGGAAUUCCGAGUGUAGAGGUGAAAUUCGUAGAUAUUCGGAGGAACACCAGUGGCGAAGGCGGCUCACUGGCUCGAUACUGACGCUGAGGUGCGAAAGUGUGGGGAGCAAACAGGAUUAGAUACCCCGGUAGUC
RNAcentral lists this ribosomal RNA (439 nucleotides) under uncultured bacterium. RNAcentral describes it as "partial 16S ribosomal RNA". It matches the Rfam family "Bacterial small subunit ribosomal RNA", at positions 339 to 795 of the family's 1533-position model. The record is from RNAcentral.